GAUGAACGCUGGCGGCGUGCCUAAUACAUGCAAGUCGAGCGAACGGACGAGAAGCUUGCUUCUCUGAUGUUAGCGGCGGACGGGUGAGUAACACGUGGAUAACCUACCUAUAAGACUGGGAUAACUUCGGGAAACCGUAGCUAAUACCGGAUAAUAUUUUGAACCGCAUGGUUCAAAAGUGAAAGACGGUCUUGCUGUCACUUAUAGAUGGAUCCGCGCUGCAUUAGCUAGUUGGUAAGGUAACGGCUUACCAAGGCAACGAUGCAUAGCCGACCUGAGAGGGUGAUCGGCCACACUGGAACUGAGACACGGUCCAGACUCCUACGGGAGGCAGCAGUAGGGAAUCUUCCGCAAUGGGCGAAAGCCUGACGGAGCAACGACGCGUGAGUGAUGAAGGUCUUCGGAUCGUAAAACUCUGUUAUUAGGGAAGAACAUAUGUGUAAGUAACUGUGCACAUCUUGACGGUACCUAAUCAGAAAGCCACGGCUAACUACGUG
RNAcentral lists this ribosomal RNA (497 nucleotides) under uncultured bacterium. RNAcentral's name for it is "partial 16S ribosomal RNA". It matches the Rfam family "Bacterial small subunit ribosomal RNA", at positions 28 to 507 of the family's 1533-position model. The record is from RNAcentral.